RNAcentral lists this ribosomal RNA (558 nucleotides) under uncultured bacterium. RNAcentral's name for it is "partial 16S ribosomal RNA". It matches the Rfam family "Bacterial small subunit ribosomal RNA", at positions 355 to 903 of the family's 1533-position model. The record is from RNAcentral.
UAGGGAAUCUUCGGCAAUGGGGGCAACCCUGACCGAGCAACGCCGCGUGAGUAGAAGAAGGUUUUCGGAUCGUAAAGCUCUGUUGUAAGUCAAGAACGGGUGUGAGAGUGGAAAGUUCACACUGUGACGGUAGCUUACCAGAAAGGGACGGCUAACUACGUGCCAGCAGCCGCGGUAAUACGUAGGUCCCGAGCGUUGUCCGGAUUUAUUGGGCGUAAAGCGAGCGCAGGCGGUUUGAUAAGUCUGAAGUUAAAGGCUGUGGCUCAACCAUAGUUCGCUUUGGAAACUGUCAAACUUGAGUGCAGAAGGGGAGAGUGGAAUUCCAUGUGUAGCGGUGAAAUGCGUAGAUAUAUGGAGGAACACCGGUGGCGAAAGCGGCUCUCUGGUCUGUAACUGACGCUGAGGCUCGAAAGCGUGGGGAGCGAACAGGAUUAGAUACCCUGGUAGUCCACGCCGUAAACGAUGAGUGCUAGGUGUUGGAUCCUUUCCGGGAUUCAGUGCCGCAGCUAACGCAUUAAGCACUCCGCCUGGGGAGUACGACCGCAAGGUUGAAACUCU